GAUUAUGGCUCAGGAUGAACGCUAGCGGCAGGCUAACACAUGCAAGUCGCGGGGCAGCGGGGUAGCAAUACCCGCCGGCGACCGGCGGAAGGGUGCGUAACGCGUGAGCAACAUGCCCGUAUCAGGGGGAUAACCGAUGGAAACGUCGCCUAAUACCCCAUAACAACAGUCUUCGCAUGUUGACUGUUUGAAAGUUACGGCGGAUACGGAUUGGCUCGCGUGACAUUAGCUGGUUGGCGGGGUAACGGCCCACCAAGGCUACGAUGUCUAGGGGUUCUGAGAGGAAGGUCCCCCACACUGGAACUGAGACACGGUCCAGACUCCUACGGGAGGCAGCAGUGAGGAAUAUUGGUCAAUGGGCGCAAGCCUGAACCAGCCAUGCCGCGUGCAGGAAUGAAGGCCCUAUGGGUCGUAAACUGCUUUUGCUGCGGAGCAAUAAGGGUUACGUGUAGCCUGAUGGGAGUACGCAGCGAAUAAGCAUCGGCUAACUCCGUGCCAGCCGCGGC
RNAcentral lists this ribosomal RNA (506 nucleotides) under uncultured bacterium. Its description in RNAcentral is "bacterial SSU rRNA". It matches the Rfam family "Bacterial small subunit ribosomal RNA", at positions 15 to 518 of the family's 1533-position model. The record is from RNAcentral.